Lolium perenne is the source of this 264-nucleotide long non-coding RNA. RefSeq lists it as uncharacterized. The record is from RefSeq and is a predicted model, not a curated record. NCBI's taxonomy places the organism in Eukaryota, Viridiplantae, Streptophyta, Magnoliopsida, Poales, Poaceae.
UUUGGCGUUGGUUUCACUUCAAAUGACCUCCUGAAAUUGAAAUGGUUCACAGAUCAAGAUCUGGUCAGAUCUGACUUUGUCGAAUUAAACCAGGAGCUUGGAGACGAAUUUUUGAAUGAAACCAACUGGGGGUACUUAGCUUGUGCCAUGGUGAUACCGAGAGAGGCAAUUGCUAAGUUGUGAUACUCUCAUACCUUUACUAGAUGCGAACAAUUCCGGAGAAGAAGAAGAGGUGGAAUCGGAUGAGAAGAUUAUUUAUGUUGU